UAAGCUUGCCAGGUUUCAAACUCAUACAUAAAACACAGAGCAGGGGCUGUUGUUUUGAAAUUUUGUAGGGGGCGCUGUGGAGCCAUUUUGCGCUCUUCAAGGAAAAUGAACAUAUAAAAAGAAAUCCCUCAUCACAUUAGAGGUGUGCGCCAAAUUUCAAGACUUUUUAAACUUUUCAAGCCCCUCAAAAGCCACUUCAUCUUUCAUGGUGAACUGCGCUGCCACCAGGGUGCGCCGUUCAGUUUAUAGUCACAAUUUUCUCACUGAAGCAUCAAGAGGGACUGAUGGUGAUAUUCACCGCUUUUGAGGUGGCCAUGAUGAACCUGUGAAAAUCAGUACAACAAAAUGAAAGACAUGACAUUUCCUGGUGCCACUAGGUGGCGCUCUACGUAUUCCUGACAAUGGGCACAUCAAUCUGUUCAGGGCAGGACUGACAUCAUGCCUGUAAAGUCUGGUACUGAUCAGAUUGGAUUUCAUUGAGUUACACUAAUUUGUUUCUUCAUGGCGAGACAUCAAUGUUCGCCAUGCUGCUGGGGUCACACCCUUCCGCGAAAACUCACAGUCUUCACUGUAACCCAAGACCAACUCCUUAAGGCUUUC
This is a long non-coding RNA of Oreochromis aureus, 600 nucleotides long. Lineage: Eukaryota; Metazoa; Chordata; Actinopteri; Cichliformes; Cichlidae. The record is from Ensembl.